Molecule: ribosomal RNA, 529 nt
Filed under: uncultured Sporobolomyces
Lineage: Eukaryota; Fungi; Basidiomycota
Description: eukaryotic LSU rRNA
Rfam family: Eukaryotic large subunit ribosomal RNA
Source: RNAcentral
AAUUUGUAAUCUGGCGCCUUCGGCGUCCGAGUUGUAAUCUCGAGAAGUGUUUUCCGUGAUAGACCGCAUACAAGUCUCUUGGAACAGAGCGUCAUAGUGGUGAGAACCCAGUACACGAUGCGGAUGCCUAUUACUUUGUGAUACACUUUCGAAGAGUCGAGUUGUUUGGGAAUGCAGCUCAAAUUGGGUGGUAAAUUCCAUCUAAAGCUAAAUAUUGGCGAGAGACCGAUAGCGAACAAGUACCGUGAGGGAAAGAUGAAAAGCACUUUGGAAAGAGAGUUAACAGUACGUGAAAUUGUUGGAAGGGAAACACAUGCAGUGAUACUUGCUAUUCGGGGCAACUCGAUUGGCAGGCCCGCAUCAGUUUUUCGGGGCGGAAAAUCAUAGAGAGAAGGUAGCAGUCUCGGCUGUGUUAUAGCUCUUUAUUGGAUUCGCCCUGGGGGACUGAGGAACGCAGCGUGCUUUUUGCAUGAGCUUCGGCUUAUCCACGCUUAGGAUGCGGGUUUAUGGCUGUAUAUGACCCGUCUUG